RNAcentral lists this ribosomal RNA (766 nucleotides) under uncultured Streptococcus sp. RNAcentral's name for it is "bacterial SSU rRNA". It matches the Rfam family "Bacterial small subunit ribosomal RNA", at positions 28 to 776 of the family's 1533-position model. The record is from RNAcentral. Lineage: Bacteria; Bacillati; Bacillota; Bacilli; Lactobacillales; Streptococcaceae.
GACGAACGCUGGCGGCGUGCCUAAUACAUGCAAGUAGAACGCUGAAGAGAGGAGCUUGCUCUUCUUGGAAGAGUUGCGAACGGGUGAGUAACGCGUAGGUAACCUGCCUUGUAGCGGGGGAUAACUAUUGGAAACGAUAGCUAAUACCGCAUAACAAUGGGUGACCCAUGUCAUUCAUUUGAAAGGGGCAACUGCUCCACUACAAGAUGGACCUGCGUUGUAUUAGCUAGUAGGUGAGGUAACGGCUCACCUAGGCGACGAUACAUAGCCGACCUGAGAGGGUGAUCGGCCACACUGGGACUGAGACACGGCCCAGACUCCUACGGGAGGCAGCAGUAGGGAAUCUUCGGCAAUGGGGGCAACCCUGACCGAGCAACGCCGCGUGAGUGAAGAAGGUUUUCGGAUCGUAAAGCUCUGUUGUAAGUCAAGAACGAGUGUGAGAGUGGAAAGUUCACACUGUGACGGUAGCUUACCAGAAAGGGACGGCUAACUACGUGCCAGCAGCCGCGGUAAUACGUAGGUCCCGAGCGUUGUCCGGAUUUAUUGGGCGUAAAGCGAGCGCAGGCGGUUUGAUAAGUCUGAAGUUAAAGGCUGUGGCUCAACCAUAGUUCGCUUUGGAAACUGUCAAACUUGAGUGCAGAAGGGGAGAGUGGAAUUCCAUGUGUAGCGGUGAAAUGCGUAGAUAUAUGGAGGAACACCGGUGGCGAAAGCGGCUCUCUGGUCUGUAACUGACGCUGAGAAGCGAAAGCAUGGGGGAGCGAACAGG